RNAcentral lists this long non-coding RNA (1401 nucleotides) under Homo sapiens (human). RNAcentral's name for it is "novel transcript". Lineage: Eukaryota; Metazoa; Chordata; Mammalia; Primates; Hominidae. The record is from RNAcentral.
ACUUUGACUAGUAGAAGGUGGAAGUGAUAUUAUGCCAGGUCCAGACUUAGGCCUUAGGAGGCCUGGCAGUUUCCAUUUUCACCCUCUUGGGAUCCAGCCACUAUGAAACCAAGUUCACCUGCUUUAUUGGAGAGAGAAAUGACCUAGAAGAUGAAAGACAGCAAAGGGAGAGCAGGAUGCCCAGCCAGCCACCAGCCAUUCUGACCCCUUCAGCUGAGGCACUGCAUGGACAGCGCUGGGGAGAAUGAACGCCUGAGUACUCAUGUCUUUAUGCACUGUAGUAUUAUUUCCUUACAACAGACUCCUGAACCUGGAACGGCAGUGUCAAAGGGUUCACAAAAUGUUAGACUUCUGAAGCAAAUCAGAUGGCACCUUUUUUGAAUAAUGAAGAAUCUUUACCCCUGGCAUGAGGAGCUGAGGACAACUCCCACUCCACGAUGUGAAGCCACAGAGUUUCGAGGCCCCAGGACCUCCAGCGUCAAUGUUGUGGGAUGAUGGGUGACAGAGCCAAAGCAUCGCCAUCUUGGACAAGCACGGUCAUUCUGAAGUUCCCCUUGAUCAAAAACUGCCUAAACCCAAAGGAUAUCAGCCUGAUGGCUAAGGUCAGCAUGACCAUAAACCAUAAAUAACAUCUCUGACCAGGAACAUUCCAAACCCCUCCAUGAGACAUGCCAGCCCUGAGAUAACCUCCCCUCCGGCCAGAAAGAUGUCAGACCCAAGAUAACCUCCCCUCCGACCAGAGACAUCCCAACCCUGCCAUAAACUUCUCCCCCACACAGAAACAUUCUGAGCUUGUAAUAAGCCCCCUCAUCCUAAAACCAAUAUAUACUCUUAGUCCGUAAGAGAAAGUGCUCCUGAACAAAAUUGGCCAGAAGCCCCUCUCCGGCUUAUUUUCUCUAAAAUACAUCUGUCGUUAAAUUGAGCCACAGUUCGUGUUUCUUCCCUCUUUCUUUAACUCUUACAAUGGGAAGCAAACUUUUUUAGUGGGUUAUUAGGAAUAAUAGUGAAAAGCAUAAUUCUCCUCUCCAGGCCUUGCUUCCUGGACCCACACAUCUCACCUGUGGGGAAGAUGGAACCAUAUAUUGGCCACUGGUUUAAUGUACAAGAUGUGUCUCCAGUCCCAAUGGUAGACAUCCUAUAGCCAAGACUCCAUCCAAUUGCCUGACCUCCACAUGUCCCUACUCUGACUGGAACCUUGUGGGUAGUUUAGGUCUCUGAGGAUCAGUCAAGCUCAGAGCAAGAUUGAAUAACCCCUGGAAGGUGUGGAUAUUCCUAUUUCCCCAGGAUCAGAGGCAUAUUUACCAUAAAGCUAAUGAUGCUUAUGCUUCAAGACUGCUCACUUACUAAAGCCCUGGUGUUAACAUGAUCAUAUGCAUUUAUAAAAUUUGCAAACAUAAAAAA